GUGUGCGUAGCUCAAUUGGUAGAGCGGUGGCGUGUGGUGCCAUUGGUUGUGGGUUCGACUCCCAUCGUACACC
Molecule: transfer RNA, 73 nt
Filed under: Clostridiales bacterium
Lineage: Bacteria; Bacillati; Bacillota; Clostridia; Eubacteriales
Description: tRNA-His
Rfam family: tRNA
About the family: Transfer RNA (tRNA) molecules are approximately 80 nucleotides in length.
Source: RNAcentral